UGGGGAAUCUUGGACAAUGGGGGCAACCCUGAUCCAGCCAUGCCGCGUGAGUGAUGAAGGCCUUAGGGUCGUAAAGCUCUUUCGCCUGUGAAGAUAAUGACGGUAGCAGGUAAAGAAACCCCGGCUAACUCCGUGCCAGCAGCCGCGGUAAUACGGAGGGGACUAGCGUUGUUCGGAAUUACUGGGCGUAAAGAGUUCGUAGGCGGACUAGCAAGUUAGAGGUGAAAUCCCAGGGCUCAACCUUGGAACUGCCUUUAAAACUGCUAGUCUAGAGACCGGAAGAGGUUAGGGGAAUACCUAGUGUAGAGGUGAAAUUCGUAGAUAUUUGGAGGAACACCAGUGGCGAAGGCGGCUCACUGGCUCGAUACUGACGCUGAGGUGCGAAAGUGUGGGGAGCAAACAGGAUUAGAUACCCUGGUAGUCCACGCCGUAAACGAUGAGUGCUAGAUGUUGGGAUUUUCGGAUUUCAGUGUCGCAGCUAACGCAUUAAGCACUCCGCCUGGGGAGUACGGCCGCAAGGUUAAAACUCAAAGGAAUUGACGG
RNAcentral lists this ribosomal RNA (543 nucleotides) under uncultured bacterium. Its description in RNAcentral is "bacterial SSU rRNA". It matches the Rfam family "Bacterial small subunit ribosomal RNA", at positions 355 to 916 of the family's 1533-position model. The record is from RNAcentral.